RNAcentral lists this long non-coding RNA (3498 nucleotides) under Homo sapiens (human). RNAcentral's name for it is "HSALNT0393223". Lineage: Eukaryota; Metazoa; Chordata; Mammalia; Primates; Hominidae. The record is from RNAcentral.
UCACCACGCCUGGCCAUGUGAUGUUAAUUUUAUGUGUCAGCCUCAUUGGGCCAUAGGGUGCCCAAAACAGAUAUUUAGUUAAACAUAUUUCUGGAUGAAUCUGUGAGGAUGUUUCUGGAUGAUAGAAGCAUUUGAACUGGUAGGCCGAAUGACGAAGAUUGCCUUUCCCGAUGUGGCUUGGAAUCACCCAAUCAGCUGAUGGCCUCAACAGAAAGAACAAAGUGGUGGAGGAAGGAGAACACAUUUUCUCUGUCAGAUGGCCCGAGUAGGGACAUUGGUCUUCCCCUGCCCUCAGGCCAGAAGUUCACUAUCAGCGAUCCUGUUCUCCGGCCUUGGAACUGGAACUGGAACUUGUACCACUGGUUAUUCUGGUUCACAGGGCUACCACUGGUCUCCUGAGUCUCCAGAUUGCAGAUGGAAGACUGUGAGACUUUUCAGUCUCUAUAAUCCUCAACCUUUCCCUCUGCCUCUCCCUCCUCUAUUGGUACUGUUUCUGGAGAACCCUGACUAAUAUGUUAAUCAUGUUCUGUCAAAUUUUGGUGAUAUAUUUUUCUUAAAUCUGUCUCAUUGACUAUUCUCAAAAUCUGCCGAGUGGGGCCAUUCAUUGUUUCUCAGCUGAAGGACUGCAGUCACUUUUAGGUACUUCCCUACCUUUGGUCAUGCGUCUCUAUUCUUCAUCCUUUACACAGCUGCCAUUCCAGUCUUUCUAAACUAGAACUAUUCCUCUGAUUAAAAAUGAAACAAAGCUUAUUGUGACUGUAAUGAAAUCUGUGUACUGGACUUCUGUUGGCUCUGUGGUUCUCAGCAGCCUACCAGAACACAGAGCUUUCCAAACUCAGCCCUGGGCACAUCUGUUCCUUCAUCCAGGCUUUCCACCCUGCGUGGCUCUCACCCUUGUGUGUCCGUCCUUGUUUCUUAGAGGAGUCGUGUGCCUCCAAAUGCAUAUGCCUACGACCUUUUCUUUCUCUUGCCUGAAAUGCCAAACUUCAUUCUCCAUCAGGUGAAUUCCAACUCACCCCUGAAGAUGAGCUCAACUGUCUCUCUUGUGUGAAGCCUUCCCUGACACCCCUGAGAAUUUUCCAUCCACGUCACCACAGAGUAAUGUCCAUCCUCCUGUAGAACCAUUCACUCAUCACAGGGUAAUGAGGAAAAUGAGGCAGCCAGAUGGAGUCCCAGCAAAAGCAGACUUCAGGCAGAAGGAACGGCAAGUCCAGGGCUCUGGAUGAGAGAAGAUCAACAACAGGAGACAGAGGGACCCCUCUAGAGGCAGGAGGAAAGAUAAAUGGCCACAGGCUGCUGUCAUCUAGGCCAGGGUUCUGGCAGCAAUGAAAACACGUCUGCAGGAGGAGAAAGAAGUGCUUUUGAAUCCAUCUUACUCAUCGUCUGUCUCUUGUCUCUUCAAAGUGAAUGCAGUUGGAAGGAAAGGGACAGGUUGGUUCUGUGCUUUGCCCAAGUAGGUCCAAAUUCUGUUUUUUUUCAGGAUGUAGCAGGGUGAGCUGUUCUGACAAACUUGAUCUUAGCACAACAGGGGCAGUAAGGUCAUCAUCCCCACCAGUCCUUUGCCCUAGGAUUACAGGACCUGCCCCCAGAGGGACAGGAGCUCAUCCUACACUGUCCCAGUGUUUCUGUGAAACACCUUAGCUCCCUGGCUGAUUCCCCAGUGGCUCAGGGGCCCAGGGAGCCUCCUCACACCCAAGGUCCCUGUCCCCAGGUGUGGGGGAUCCCUAUGUAUGACAUUGUGGGUGACUGGGACUCCUCACUGAACAGGAUCAGUAAAGGGCCUGCCUGGCUCUAGGCACUCAUUCAGCUGCACUGGAAUUUGGAGAAAGAGGCUGCAGAAUACACCCCUAGCCCUAAUUAGGAAAGAAACAGAGUGGUCUUGAGUCAACUCCUGAAAGCUGUGUGUGCCCUGGAUCAAUGGCCCACGGGACAUGUAGAACAGAGGCAGGAAGUCCCACUGUAAAUGGCAGACUUCAGUUUCCAGGACUUAGAUUCCACUGGGAAGCAGCUGUCCAAUUCACAAAAUUGUCAGUGAUCAAAAUAAAUAUAAUAAAGUAGUUCAUUUUAAGCAAUGCAAAGAAAGCUGAGUGGCAGAUAAAGCUAAAGAUGAGCUCCAGAUGCCACCAGGCAUAGCACGUGGAGGGACUGCAUACCCGCGUCCAGCGUAACUUACAACUCCUGGAAUGCUGGGACUGUGCAGUGUUAAUUCUAAUGGCCCAUGGAGGCAUAAUUAAUUAACCUUUCAGUUACUCUGGGCACUGCCCUUAUCCAAACAUAAAUAUGUGUAUGCCGGGAAAAUUUUGCAAUAUAGAAAGCCGACAUCGUUGACUCCUUAUUCAUAGGCAAAUCCAGUGCUUUUCAAUUUUGACUGUGCAGCAGAAUCACCGAUGGAUUUUAUUUUUAAAAUAGGGGUACGUAUGUCUCAUCUCACCCAGGGUGAGGUCCAUGGAUCUAAUGUUAUGAAGCCCACAGUGGGUCCCAAAUCCCAGCUGAGCUCCAGGACUAGGAAUGUCACCCAGCCUCCCUGCUGUAGAGCUGCACCAUGGCUUUCGUUCUUCCCGUGGUGGAAACAAAGCUUGCCUAGAGUUUCUGGAUGCAGCAUCUCUCCGAAAACAAGCUGGGGCUCUGCCGCCCUCACUGGAGCACAGCCAGUGCUGUGGAGCCCCCAGAGUGGCCACAGGGAUAGAGGGGACUUAAAACUGAGUAGGGGGCAACAGAGUUGGGGGUCUAUCCACCACAUGUGGACACACAGCAAGUCAGGCAUGUGGGAAGGAGGGAACAGCAGCGUGGAAUGGAAAUGGCAAAUGUUCAUCCAGCCAGGUGUUAUUUUAUUUAUGGCUUCUGGGGAAAUGGGAUGAACAAUUUCAGAACAGCCUUGGGUUGAACUUGAUGCUGCAAAUGGAACUUAAUUGCUCAAAUAAUGUCAUAUCAAUUUCAUAUAAAUGAUAAAGAAGGAAAGUCCCUCUUUCUAGAGAGAAAACUCUCCUGACGGCAUCAGGCUGUCCUGGGAAGUCACUGCUUCCCUUUUCUGUUGUGGGGCAUAACGGGAGAUGAAGCUGGGAAUUGACAAUCUCUUUUUUCUGCUGGACUGAAACCUCCUGGAGCAGAAAAAUAGUUUUUUAUUUUGCAAAUGAAAGUCAAAGAUGUGGCAGGAGUUGAGGGUGGGCAUUGCAAGAGCUAAAUCCGGUGCUUCUGACAGCCCAGCCCUAGUGAGAGGCCCCUUCUGAGAGUCCCAGGGACUCUUAUGUAAAUGAAACUCAAAUAGAGCUCCCCACAGCACCUGAGCUUAGGGUCACCAGGCUCUGGGACUCUGUAUGUGCUCCCAGGAGAUUCCAUCCCCAGGAUAACACUGCAGGUCAAUUUGUGCUUUUCCUACCAUGCAAACCAUACUCUGGUAACUGUGCAGGAUUCUAAGAAAUAAACUUAUUGAACCAAAGUAUUGUAUAACUUAUUUUAAGUUAUAUAUUUUUCCUUGUCAUUAGUAACCAAAGAAUAAUU